Triticum aestivum (bread wheat) is the source of this 126-nucleotide non-coding RNA. The record is from Rfam. Lineage: Eukaryota; Viridiplantae; Streptophyta; Magnoliopsida; Poales; Poaceae.
GUAAUACUCCCUCCGUCCCAAAAUUCUUGUCUUAGAUUUGUCUAGAUACAGAUGUAUCUAAUACUAUUGAUACAUCCGUAUCUAGACAAAUCUAAGACAAGAAUUUUGGGACGGAGGGAGUAAAAG